Molecule: ribosomal RNA, 666 nt
Filed under: Triticum aestivum (bread wheat)
Lineage: Eukaryota; Viridiplantae; Streptophyta; Magnoliopsida; Poales; Poaceae
Description: partial small subunit ribosomal RNA
Source: RNAcentral
AUGAACGUCUGGCAAGCUCGAUCUGAGGACUACUCAAUAGUUGAGUGUGCCAUGCUUUACAGCUUAGAACCGGGACUUCAAAGACGUAUUGAACAUCAUGGAGCAUAUAAGAUGUUCCAAGAGUUGAAGUUAAUAUUUCAAGCAAAUGCCCGGGUUGAGAGAUAUGAAGUCUCCAACAAGUUCUACAGCUGCAAGAUGGAGGAGAAUAGUUCUGUCGGUGAACACAUACUCAAAAUGUCUGGGUAUCAUAACCACUUGACUCAGCUGGGAGUUGAUCUUCCAGUUGAUAGUGUUAUUGACAGAGUUCUCCAAUCACUGCCACCAAGCUACAAAGCCUUCGUGAUGAACUAUAAUAUGCAAGGGAUGACGAAAACGAUUCAUGAGCUCUUCGCAAUGCUUAAGGCCGCGGAGGUAGAAAUCAAGAAGGAGCAUCAAGUGUUGAUGGUUAACAAGACCACUAGCUUCAAGAAAAAGGGCAAGGGAAAGAAAGGGAACUUCAAGAAGAAUGGAAAGCAAGUUGCCACUCCCGGGAAGAAACCCAAAGCUGGACCCAAGCCUGAAACUGAGUGCUUCUACUGCAAAGGGAAUGGUCACUGGAAGCGGAACUUCCCCAAAUACUUGGCGGAUAAGAAGGAUGGCAAAGUGAACAAAGGAACCAUGGAAUAA